Molecule: long non-coding RNA, 1169 nt
Organism: Cynocephalus volans (Philippine flying lemur)
Lineage: Eukaryota; Metazoa; Chordata; Mammalia; Dermoptera; Cynocephalidae
Exons: 4
Source: RefSeq, a predicted model, not a curated record
GGGGUCAGACAAUCCCUUCCAUUUGGCUCGGGCCGCGCAUUGGCUCCACGGGCCCGCCUCACAUGACCGCGCCCCGUAGCGGGUGGAAGCUGGCUGGUAUGGGGAUCUGAACCCUUGACCUUGGUGUUAUCAGCACCACGCUCUCCCAGGUGCCAUGGCCCCUAAAGCUGCUCUCAACAGAGACUGACGGGCAGGGAUGUAUAAAUGCCCCCGGUCCCUCACUGUCAGGUGGUAUGAUUCCGAGGAGUGUGUUCACACCAUGGCCUCCCUGUGCCGACCCUGUGUUUGCAUGGCCCUGAGAGCAAGUGCCUCCUUAAACGGCUGGAGUACUGGUGGCAUCAGGACUGACUGCUAGAGAUCCUGUAAAGCAACGUUCAUCUGGCAGGAAAAGAUGUGAAGGAGUAGAGAGGGCUACAGGCAUUAGGCUGAUACACAGGCCAGACCCAUAAGGUCCUGUUUGGGGAAAUUAAGGCAGAAAGAGCCCAAAAUCCUGGAGGUCAUGUGUGAGGGAGCAGAAUGGCUCUCUAUCACACACCUUGGUUUUAACUCAAUAGAAGAACUUUUUCACCCUCAAAAUGUGUAGAAAACCAAACAGAGAUCACUGUGAAUAGUGAUCUCCAAAUAAAGCUAGGGUGCACAUGACGCUCCUUUGGGGUACAGGAAGCAAACAGGCCUUGUGUUCCCAACAUACUUGAAGUGUCUUCACGAAAGAGCAGGGAUUUCUUAACAGGAAGGGUUGACAAAGACAGCCUCACUUCUUGGUGGGCUUUCAGAAUUAUUGUGAUGUGUAGCAGGUUAAGUGUACCCAGUGAGGAUAUUAUCUUGAUUUAAUUAAGUAGUCCUAACAAAAUGGAUAAGUGGCUUGCUGUGCUUUGAAUGCUUGUCCCCUCCAAAGCUCAUGUUGGAACUUAAUCCCCAAUGUGGUAUUUAAGAGGUGGAACCUGUAAGAGUUGAUGUGAUUGUGAGAACUACGCCCUCAAAAAUGGGUUAAUCCAUUCAUGGAUUAAUGGGUUAAUGAAUAAGUUGGUUAUCAGAAGCAUGUAGUGCAUUCCUGUUCAGCCCUUGCCAUGUGAUAUCCUGUGUCACCUUGGGGCUCUGCAGAGUCCCCCCCAAGAAGAACGCCCUCACCAUAUGUGCUUCCUUGACGUUGAACUUCCCAGCCUCCAAAA